UUUCUCCUCAAAGAAAAAUAACACAUCAGUAUUGCAGUUACUAAACAGAUAAAUCAAUUUCAACAAAAUGGAGACACAACAGAUGAGAAAGGGAAAAACUGGAUUCACACGCUUCAGGAAAAAGAUGAUCAGGUAAAAUCAUUUAAACACACAGUAAAUGCAAGGAUGAAACUUUUCUUCUAAAUGAACU
Notechis scutatus (mainland tiger snake) is the source of this 190-nucleotide non-coding RNA. The record is from RefSeq and is a predicted model, not a curated record. NCBI's taxonomy places the organism in Eukaryota, Metazoa, Chordata, Lepidosauria, Squamata, Elapidae.